Molecule: ribosomal RNA, 981 nt
Filed under: uncultured bacterium
Lineage: Bacteria
Description: bacterial SSU rRNA
Rfam family: Bacterial small subunit ribosomal RNA
Source: RNAcentral
UAAUGACGGUACCGUAAGAAUAGCACCGGCUAACUACGUGCCAGCAGCCGCGGUAAUACGUAGGGUGCAAGCGUUAAUCGGAAUUACUGGGCGUAAAGCGUGCGCAGGCGGUUAUGUAAGACAGUUGUGAAAUCCCCGGGCUCAACCUGGGAACUGCAUCUGUGACUGCAUAGCUAGAGUACGGUAGAGGGGGAUGGAAUUCCGCGUGUAGCAGUGAAAUGCGUAGAUAUGCGGAGGAACACCGAUGGCGAAGGCAAUCCCCUGGACCUGUACUGACGCUCAUGCACGAAAGCGUGGGGAGCAAACAGGAUUAGAUACCCUGGUAGUCCACGCCCUAAACGAUGUCAACUGGUUGUUGGGUCUUCACUGACUCAGUAACGAAGCUAACGCGUGAAGUUGACCGCCUGGGGAGUACGGUCGCAAGAUUAAAACUCAAAGGAAUUGACGGGGACCCGCACAAGCGGUGGAUGAUGUGGAUUAAUUCGAUGCAACGCGAAAAACCUUACCUACCCUUGACAUGGUCGGAACCCUGCUGAAAGGUGGGGGUGCUCGAAAGAGAGCCGUAACACAGGUGCUGCAUGGCUGUCGUCAGCUCGUGUCGUGAGAUGUUGGGUUAAGUCCCGCAACGAGCGCAACCCUUGUCAUUAGUUGCUACGAAAGGGCACUCUAAUGAGACUGCCGGUGACAAACCGGAGGAAGGUGGGGAUGACGUCAAGUCCUCAUGGCCCUUAUGGGUAGGGCUUCACACGUCAUACAAUGGUACAUACAGAGGGCCGCCAACCCGCGAGGGGGAGCUAAUCCCAGAAAGUGUAUCGUAGUCCGGAUUGUAGUCUGCAACUCGACUACAUGAAGUUGGAAUCGCUAGUAAUCGCGGAUCAGCAUGUCGCGGUGAAUACGUUCCCGGGUCUUGUACACACCGCCCGUCACACCAUGGGAGCGGGUUUCACCAGAAGUAGGUAGCUUAACCGCAAGGAGGGCGCU